RNAcentral lists this ribosomal RNA (241 nucleotides) under uncultured bacterium. RNAcentral's name for it is "partial 16S ribosomal RNA". It matches the Rfam family "Bacterial small subunit ribosomal RNA", at positions 791 to 1035 of the family's 1533-position model. The record is from RNAcentral.
UAGUCCACACAGUAAACGAUGAAUACUCGCUGUUUGCGAUAUACAGUAAGCGGCCAAGCGAAAGCAUUAAGUAUUCCACCUGGGGAGUACGCCGGCAACGGUGAAACUCAAAGGAAUUGACGGGGGCCCGCACAAGCGGAGGAACAUGUGGUUUAAUUCGAUGAUACGCGAGGAACCUUACCCGGGCUUAAAUUGCAGUGGAAUGAUGUGGAAACAUGUCAGUGAGCAAUCACCGCUGUGA